GGCCCUUUGUUAUUAUAAGCUAGAUAGAGGGUUGGCCCUGCCCGGUGGCGAAAGCUAAACGGCCGCAGUUAAUAGCUGUGUUAAUGUAGCGCAAUAACUCGUCCUUUAAUUGAGGAAGGGAAUGAAUGGGUUGACGUUGGAGAAGCUGUCUCCGCUAUAUAGGCAAAAUUAUCUUUAUAGUGAACAGACUAUGAUUUAAUCAAAAGACGAGAAGACCCUGUCGAGCUUGGAUAAUUAUUCAGGUUAGGUACGGUUUAGCAAGGUUUACUGGGAGAGUAGGGAGGUAGAAGAAAUCCUUUCUUAAUUGAAUGGAUCUUUUAUAUAGAAAUCAAAGGAAAAAGCUACCGCAGGGAUAACAGCGUAAUUCCUCUAGUGAGGGCAUAUCGAUGGAGGAGUUUGCGACCUCGAUGUUGGAUUUGGGUUCCUAUUUUGGUGCAGAAGCUAGAUAAGUGGGUCUGUUCGACCUUUGAAGCUCA
This 476-nucleotide ribosomal RNA is filed under the name Apachecorbula muriatica. RNAcentral describes it as "partial 16S ribosomal RNA". It matches the Rfam family "Bacterial large subunit ribosomal RNA", at positions 1816 to 2597 of the family's 2925-position model. Lineage: Eukaryota; Metazoa; Mollusca; Bivalvia; Myida; Corbulidae. The record is from RNAcentral.